CCGAUUACGAACACUAUGAUUUCAGCAGCAAGCCACCCGUGGCACUCUCCACCUUCUACAAUUCACUUCGGCACCGGGCAGCAGAGGAGACCCUCCCACUGAGCAGCUUCCCCCCGGCACCUGGCCAGGAAGUGCUGAGUGAAGGCCCAGAGCCCUGGGGCCAGCUGGAGCAGAGGCCCCAUGAGGAGCCCGCUGCUGAGUUCAGUUCAUCCUCUGAAGACAACUACUACAACCACAGCACCACCAGGCAGCAAGAGUGGGGCAACCCAGCCCCUCCGCCCGCUGGGAGUCUCUUACUGCCAGUGCCUUCCACCCAGGGUGAUGGUGGUUCCCAGCUCUCAUUCCAAGCAGGGCCUGCCACUGCUGACAGCUCCAGCACUUCAUCUGGAGAAUGGUAUGAGAACUUCCACCCACUGAAGCAUCAAGAAGCCCAGCCAGAGAACCCGUCCUCCACCCCAGGCUGGCCAGCUGUCUCCCAGAUGUCGGGGAAUGGUGAUCCUCGAAGUGAUUCCUCAGACAGCAGUGAUUACGAUGAUGUCCAAGGCCUGAGGUACUAGGGCCGGGAGUCACUGCAGGUCUCUGUCUCCAGCCCUCUCUCUUGCCUUCCACACAACCAUGGCAAAUCAGUGGAUAAUAACUGAGCGAUAACUGAACCGCCCAUCUCUACACUGAAAGUCUUCAAUCGACACAUGUUCCUCCAGGAGAGGUCCCAGUGUAAGGGGGAAGGCUGGUCAGUAGGUCCCAGAACCUGCCCUAAACAGACCAGCAGUUCCCAGUGCAGUCCAGUGGGUCUGGAAUAGGCUGUGCUCCUGCACCAACGGACAGAUCUGACCCAAUUGACCAGGAAACCCACUGAGACACUCAGAAGAACAUCCCCUUCCAUGCCCGCAUUCUCCACCAGAGCCCAGCUAGCCCUGACCAUUCAUGCUUGCAAGCCAACCCCUGGAGCGGGAUGGAGUUGUCUGGGACGCCCUGCUCAGUGGUCAGGACACAGGCUGAGCUCUCUGGAAUGGUUGCAGGGGCCAUGGGCUUUAUCCCCAGCCAGGAGAAGAGCUGGGACUCAUGGGGAUGAGCACAGCUGGAGACCUAGGUAAGGUAAGCCAGCCAUCAGAAACCCUGCUAAGCUAAGCUGCCUAGGAGAUCCAAGCCUCCGGCUUUGAGGGAAAGUAGACCAAUAGUAAAGGCAGUGCCUGAUGCUCCGGAGGGCUGUGUUUCCUCCCUGGCCUUGCUGCUACCUUAUUGUUUGAAUGUGGCCAAUUCACCUCCCCCAUGACUCAGUUUCCCUGUUGAAGAUGGAGAUCAUGGUGCCCCUGAAAGACUUGGAGAUCCUGAGCUAGACGGUGCUGUCAAUGGACAAAAUAUCCUCCUAAGAAUGAGGUAAUGGUUGAGGCUAUGGAGGACGAUCCUUCCAUUUCCUCCAAGGGAGGGACCGCUGGCCAGGCAAGGAAAGCAUGGCUGAGGGCCAUUGGCAAUGUCAGGAGUUGGGAUUCAUGGCUGCUGCUCAGCUGUACCUGCUGUUACUGGAGAUGAGAGGCUGGCUCCUCCAGCCUUCUAAGGAGGUAUACAGUUUGUAUGGAUUUUUUUCCCUUGGAAAAUGUAGUUGAAAACAGUGGGAGGAAAUAAUCAUUUCAUUGCUAUUUUUCUCUGAGAUUUUCCUGGGUUUUCAAUGAACAAAAUAAUUAUUUCCUUCCCCACAAAUCUCCAAAAGCUUUCAAUGGAACCUGGCUCUGCCGAGAGGUGUGUGUGUGUGUGUGUGUGUGUGUGUGUGUGUGUGUGUGUGUGUGNNNNNNNNNNUGUGUGUGUGUGUGUGUGUGUGUGUGUGUGUGUGUGUGUGUGUGUGUAAAAAAGCCCUUUUUGCACCAAAAGAAAUCUGUUGAUGGGUAUUUUGUGAACAGUUCUGAAACUGAGAAUAAGGGGCCCUUGCUGCUCAUACUGGUGAACCCAGAGUGACCAGAGCUGUACCCUUUCCUUGCAGACAUUCGUUGAUCCUCCCCAUGGCCCUGCCAGGUGGUGGAGGAUUCUGACUUUCAUUCUCUGCAGGGGAGGGAGCGAAAGCGAGUCAUGGCUAGAUGAAAUGACUUGAGCAAGGCCACCCACUGAGUAAGCUACAGCUUCUAGCCCUAUGCUUUUUCCUCCCUAUGCCCCACUGGGACACUGCUCCUGGGGGCUGCUCAGGGGGAGCCUUUAUUUAGCGAUCAUUCCCUGCAGCAUGGACUUGUGGCCCUGCACUGGAACUUCCCCUCCAUUCCUGGAGCAGUGGGGGAAGAGAACUGCAUGGAAAAGUGGCAGGAACGAAUGUAUCUUCCAGGAUCUGAGAGCACAAGCACUGUGUAAAUAGCGGAGUUGUAGGACCGCUCCCACGCACUCAGGUGCUUGAGCGGUGCAGUGGCAGGAUUGUAAAGUGUGUUGUGAGA
This 2414-nucleotide long non-coding RNA is filed under the name Pelusios castaneus (West African mud turtle). Its description in RNAcentral is "lncRNA (ENSPCEG00000013821.1)". Lineage: Eukaryota; Metazoa; Chordata; Testudines; Pelomedusidae. The record is from RNAcentral.